This 465-nucleotide ribosomal RNA is filed under the name uncultured bacterium. Its description in RNAcentral is "partial 16S ribosomal RNA". It matches the Rfam family "Bacterial small subunit ribosomal RNA", at positions 338 to 795 of the family's 1533-position model. The record is from RNAcentral.
CCUACGGGCGGCAGCAGUAGGGAAUCUUCGUCAAUGGACGGAAGUCUGACCGAGUCACGCCGCGUGAGUGAAGAAGGUUCUCCGAUUGUUAAACUCCGUUGGUAGAGAAGCACGUUGGUGAGAGUGGAAAGCUCAUCAAGUGACGGUAACUACCCAGAAAGGGACGGCUAACUACGUGCCAGCAGCCGCGGUAAUACGUAGGUCCCGAGCGUUGUCCGGAUUUAUUGGGCGUAAAGCGAGCGCAGGGGGUUUAUUAAGUCUGGUGUAAAAGGCAGUGGCUCAACCAUUGUAUGCAGUGGAAACUGGUAGACUUGAGUGCAGGAGAGGAGGGCGGAAUGCGAGGUGUAGCGGUGAAAUGCGUAGAUAUAAGGAGGAACACCGGUGGCGAAGGCGGCUCUCCGGCCUGUAACUGACACUGAGGCACGAAAGCGUGGGGAGCAAACAGGAUUAGAUACCCCUGUAGUC